AAUUGCAUUAAAUUUACGAAAGCUCUAAAUUUUCAUGGAGGUAUGAGGUCGCCGAACUCUAGUUGUUAAUAUGAGCGUAUUUAAUAAAAGACCAAUAUAUACUGGAAUGCUGCGGAUUAAGUCAUGUAGUAUCAGUACAGAAACUGUUAUACAUGUAAGUUUCUUUUGAGAUGUGUUGGAUGUUUGAAAGCACAAAAAGAAAAUAGGCUUCUUUCGCCUCUCAAUGGCAGCGCAAUGUUUCGAAGGAUGCUCGGGACAUUGUCAAAGGCACAGUGUGACUGUUGAAUCCUUAUCAUGAUCUAGGGCAGAGAUGUACCCACGUCAAGAAAGAUUUCAUCACGACAGCGAUAAUGCUGUCCAGGUACGUGCGUGUCUUGACUACGGCAGACGAAAAAGAUGCGCUCUUCGACGGCACGCUAGAAAGGCGAGCGGUCAGAGUCACGAGGGAAAUCGAGGUAGGACGAACAUGCUUCCUGACGUUGGAACGCACAACCUACCAAGGUUUUGUAGCUCUAAAGUAAUGAUUGGCGAGAUAUCACGACUAUGAAUCACAGGAGACGCAUGACUGUAGUAACGUGAUUAUAUGUAGAAUCUUGGAAGUAUUGAACUGUCCUUCUUUCAACGUUUAACCCGAAAGAAAGUAUUGUACUCUGAGUCAGUUUUUUCUUACUCAUGAUACAUACUAUACAGACUAUGUCUUGAUGUAUAUACAUCUUGUGCCCCCUUCUCCGCUCAGAGAAAUACAUGGUAGGAGGGUGACUGGGUGUGCUCGAGCAAAAUUGAAGGAGUUAUUACCACACAAACCUCCAAGAAGAGAGAGACUUUCUAUUUGUACUGGUUCGCUGAUUGCUGGCCUUUUCUGACUGCCGGCUGACAUAAUGAGUACAGUAUCGUCCACCGAGACGCCCCUCCCCAGGGGUGGAUGGAGCACAGUUCAAGGCAUAUUCGGGCUACUUCUACUACGCCAACUUGACCAUAGGAACUAGCACACGACAGGAUUGGAUGAGCUGUCAGACAUGGAGCUUGCCUUGUUCCCAAUCCUACUAGAGCACAGCCACCGGUCCAUGGAAGCUGUAGAUAUAAGAAGCACAACCAUACGGUACUAUGACUCCAUGGGGCUGACGAGUAAGAGCAUCGAAAAACUAGAAUUACCAACAAGUUCUGCAGAAGUCAUUCCACAAAGGUACGAGUGACACAGACGUGUAAGAAUGGGCAGCAGAAUAUCCCAAGGUAAGAUAUGAUUUGAUUUGAUUGCCAGUCAAGCAAAAUAUUAAGACAUAUUCGGUGUUUCUCCUCGAUUUAAUUCAACUCGUUUAAAAAUGAAGGAAAUGAUGGAAAUGUCGUGUAGUCAUUAGGAGAUAGCUUUAUCUUUCACCUAUUUGAACAUGGUGGCUGUAGUGCAUAGUGCAUGAAAUACUAAACGUACAAAGCAUAGCUAAAGUAGCUAAUUGCACUGUGACAGCCAUAUCUUAGGCUUGAUUCCGUCUUGGCAUGUUAGGUAAUAUCUUGUUAUCCAAGGUCUACAUAAUUACACAGACAGGGCUGCACAACAAAAGGCUAUAUAUAUAUGCAUAUAUAUGUAAAUGUACAUUUGAGUGACAGGUAUGAGAAGAGAAAAUACGUCGCAAAUUUACAGUUGACAAGCCACAUUUCCAUGUGUUCAAUGAGCUACAACCUGGGAACUAUUACAAUAAUCUGGAAAGUAGAACCUGCAUGCUGCUGGAUAUAUGCAAGUGGUGGAAAGGCGCAAUAGGUGAAAGAUAAAGUUAAGCCUCUAAAUGUAAAGUUAAACCUCUAAAAGAAGCUACGCUGAUGCCCAUUAUACAGCGAUGUUCCCUGCCUGGGUCAACAAUAUAUUCAGAUGGAUGGACCGCCUCCACAAACGUUAGACAGCUAUCAAACAUGGCAUCGUAUCAGUUUGUCAACCCCCCCGACUGCGAGCCGUGAGGGCCAAGAAGUUAGAGGUUAUCCGGGAAUCAAGAACAUACAAUGAUUUGGAAUACCAGUGUACUUCUGUCAUUACUUCAGUAUCUUCCACCUAAUCAAUUGUCUCACAUUUCGUGAUAUCUUUUGUCCUUAGGAUAUGAUAAAUGGCUUGAGUAUGCGACAGCUAAGGCCACUCGCCCACAAGAUGGCGACUACGCAGCCAGCCAUCAUCAUUGAUAUUAUGCUGAUGUGGAACCGGAGCCGGAGGUAACAACAACGUACCGGAGUGGUGUACUUGUGGAAACUGCCGAAACAUGCCGACGGAUAAGGAGAAAAUCUGUUGUGGUGGUGGACCAGAGUCCUGUCUCUCUGAUUGUAAUGUAAGUGGUGAAAUACCAUGGGACAGGGCCGAUGGGAGGCAGGGUCUGAGUGAUUGGCAGAAGACAUUUUGGUAGCAGCUAAGGCUGCAGGGCAGCUAUUGACAAACCUGAUGUAAGGUGUGUGGUGCACCUGGGGUGUUCCUUCCUCAAUCCAAGACUUCUUUCAGGAGUCGGGACGUGAAGGAUGGGAUGGAAGACAUGCCAAAACUAUCAUGCUUGUCAAGCCAGAGGACAAAGCUCUCAAGAAGACCGGUGAAAUGGAAGACUAACAGUAUAGCAGCCACGCCCUUCAAAGUCAAUCGGACAUGAUUUGUGACACCGAACUGUGAAGAAGAAAGCUUUUACUUGAAGUUUUUUUUUCAGAAAACAACAGUACGAUUGUAAUAGGACAUGCGAUGCGAUUCCAGUAUUGACAAACGCAGUUCAUAUGCAGGUGCAAGUAGGAUACCUCCUUGUCAGCUACACGCAUGAGGACGUUGAUCAGUUCUUCAGCAAGAUAGCGUCAACACUACGAAAGCAGGAUGCUACAACUCAUCAAGAACUGGUCGGCGUCAUCAAUCAGAGUUACCCCAACACGCAUACGGAGGAGCUCGACGCACUGCUGGAUGUGAAGGGGUUUCUCGGCAUCGUAAGCAACGACUUGGAGCAGCACAGCUGCCCUCAUGCCUAAAGGUUUACCAUGGGGCAUGACGAGAAGCCUGUCAUCCAGUACAUGGUAUUUGUUAUUAUGUUCUAGUCAUGUCAUGUUGAUAUUUGUGACACAGGUGCUUUUGUGUUUUACUGGUAGCGUUGUACUUGUAGCGCACAUAGUUUCCAAUCUCCUAUCCGAAUGUUACCCCUUUGUAUUGAGUUUUCCUAUUGAUAUUGGCGUUCGACAAGGGUGCGUUUUAAGCCCCACACUAUUCAACCAGUACAUCAAUGAACUUACAGAUGAACUUGAUUCAGAAAACUUAGACGUACAUCAAUGAACUUAUAGAUGAACUUGAUUCAGAAAACUUAGACGUUCCUGUUACAACACACACAAUUGAACAGCUUAUUUUAUGCUGACGACAUUGUUUUAUUAUCCGAAACUUAACAAGGACUACAGAACGCGAUUAACGCUCUUGGCCGAUCUUGCGAAAAAUGGAAAUUAACGGUCACAACAUGACCUUCGCUGCUGCGAGAUACCCGCUGCCAAAUCCCACCAUGCUUUGAUUACCGGCACAUCUCACUAAUACAUAUCUUGACUCUCAAAUUGUUUAUGUGCCUGUUUGUGGGAAAGUUGUGAAGUGAAGGGUGUGUUUUGUUUGGAUUGAUGGUAUGGCGGCGAAGAACGCUGAGUUGAGUGGCCAGAAGAAGGUAGAUAGGAAUGAAGCUGAAAGACUGCCAGAGGGAAUUAAAUGCGGCUUUGGAAAGGUUGAAAGUGGUUCUUCAGUCGACUGGAGUGAACACUGGGAGGAUGACGUAAGUAGAUGUUAUUAAUGCGGCAAUCAGAAGGGUUGAAGGAUGUAAGUGCUUGAUGCUGGCGGAGUAUCAUCAAUUGCAUUGGGAUUAACCAGCAGAUGCAUGGCUAUCGACGCCUUGCAAGGGCGGCAGCUAACUCGACAUUUUUGCAAAACAUGCCUACUUCAUUGUAUGUUAACAUUGCAUGUCUCUCUUCUUCUUCAAACUCAGGUCAAACUUGAUUUCCUGGUUGUGGGGCACACAUCGAUCAAUUCUUCAGCCGCAUUUCACACUUCCAGAACUGGAAUUUUUCAAAAGUAUUUUGAUGACCUUCAUUUGGGAUUUGCUUUUAUUCUUCAUAUGUGAUUAUUCAAAUUACAAAUUAAUUUAGAGGUUAUUGAAGAGCGUGAAAUCUGCAAACUUAUGAUCAUACGGACUGAGCUAACUUUCCUUCUUCAAACUCACCGUCUACAGAUCCCUUUUCUGGCCACUUCUACAGCGUCUAAGCGUCUCGUAAACACCCUGACAUCUACGCCUCUGAGUACGAUAUAAAAUAUCCCACUACUGACCACUGAGUUCAGAUCACGUCUUCUCCUUUGGCAAUUAAUAAUUUUCAAGUCGCAGACUGCUGUUUGUUGUAGCCUCUUUCGUUUGUGGGUACAAUAUAUCACACACAGAACAUCGAACCUAGAGAGGAGCAAGAAACAGCCCCUCCACGCAAGAAGCGGCGAAAGAAGCGCAAGGCCAAAAAUGGCGUGUUUCUCAACACGAAACCACUUUGAAGGUUUAUUCCAGGGGCUGGAAUUUUCAAACAUUGCUAUUGAGUCCCAAAAAUGGCCCAAACAGAACAAAGAAAUCUAAGCGGCUAUCACACCCGCCUUCGGAGACAAAUCUCAGACACCAGUCCAUGGCCAAAAUGUGGUGGCCAAGAAGAAGGCCCCACAUACUGGAAACACGUCUUCUGAUGCAAUGGAAGUGACCAACAGACCUCUAAAAGGUCAGCACUUUCCGAUGAAGAGGUUUAGACAAGAAAGCAGUUGUGGCAGGCUUGCCUGAAGGUGUACCCAAGGAACUCUCGACAAUUGGGAUCCCACAACUGCACAAACACCUGGCAGCCCUGCAGCAAACGGACAACAAAGGUGGCGAUGUCUUUGUAUGGGAGAGCUGUUCUCAGAAGUUAUAUCAUAUAUAGUCAGCAUGCUGAGCCACCAGUGAUGUCCAGAUACAAGUACAUGGUGUCCAUAGUAGAAUCUCUAGUAGGUGACUACUUGCCCCACCUGGCAAGGUUUAUAGCAGAAACGGCGAUCGGCAAUUUUUCACCUGGAUUCCUAUGAUCAUUUUUCAUUGUGUGUACUUUUAGUCAAUGUAUUUUGUACCAAGCCCUGGCGUCCUAAUGAAUGACAGGUCAUAUGCUUGAUUUGUCUCGGCUACAUUUGGCGGGCUUUCUGUCUUCUCUGGACACACUGCUUGAGCAGCACUUGGACCUGAUUUACUCUGAGCAGACAAGUAACUGGAAUUUCAGCAUCAUGCCUACCAAAAGGCAGUUAGAAGGUUAGUGAAUGCAUUCUUUAACUCUCACUAUGUCCUACUUAUAUUAUGUGAGAAUUGAGUAUCAUUUUUGUACACUAUGGAAGGAUUUAGUUCCACAACCCAAGCUCAGAGUGGGACAUGAGAUGUUGUUAGCUCCGGCCAAUUAUUAGCUCCAUUGUUUCUCACUGUCAUUUUGUAACAUCAGUUGAAAGAUUGUGCAAUUCCUUUUAAGAAUAAGAAUUGCUAUCCCAGUUGAUUUUGUAGUAAAUGAGGAAUUUUCAUUAAACACGAGUUGUCUUACUAUUAUGACCAGUGGUGCAGGUUUCAUAAAAAAACAAACCAAAUAACUGGCUUGCAUUGACAAUAUUGCUAAACCAAAAGGCAACCCUGCCCAACUUGUGAACUAUAUCUAUGCUUCAAAUUUGCAAUUUGCCAGAGACAUUCUGAAUACUGUUCCUUGCUUUGCCACUUGCCCAAUGUGUCUAUUGGUGCUUAUAUUAGCAGAGCCACAUAAACAGUCAAAGUGCCAUGCAAAUGCCUUAUAAAUUGUAUAUACACCAUUUUUAUAACUGGAAAUUGUCAAGCUUUUAACUUAUAAAAGGUGUACCGGGCCAGAUGAUAAUUCUGUAUCACAUUCGGUUCAACUUUUUAUCACACGGGCUUCCAACAAAAAAAGUAACACAAUUUGGUUUUAAGAUUUCCGACCACACCAGACUUGGUCCAAACAAUAUUUACAGUAUGAUGCUAUGUACAAGUAUGAAAGAAUGCAUAAUCUGGCAAGAAAGAUGAUACUAUCAAAAGGGCACAUGCAUAUGUAUAGUAGAACUCAUAUAUGGCUGCAAAAAGCAAAUUACUGAGUAUACUGAUAUCUAUUGAUCUUUAUUUUCUUAGCAAAACGUGGAGAGCCAUUCUGGUUCUAUAUUUGGUUUGGUUUGGAGGGGUCAAUGAUUGAGAGCAAACACAUCACCUCACCAGAAGAUCUGUCCUACAACAAUCUGGAGCAGUUGAAGAACACUGCAGUCCAGGUGCUGUGGGGGAAGGUCUGCUCAGGGCAGUUGAUCAACUGGACACCACCUGGUAAGAACUCAUAUUAAGAUGUUACCUUGCCUUCUCAGCAUUUGCUCAUGUAUCAUUGGCUGACUAGUAGAAUGUUUUCUGAAUAACAAUUUGGGAUACUGCCUUAUUUUUGUUCUGAAACUCUUUUUCCCAAAUAGUACACUUCAACGUUUGACAUAAUGUUAAUGCCUUUCUGGGGGUUAUAAAGUCCAAGUUAAGGCAUUAUGAGAUGUAUAAUGCCAUAGUGCAUCAGUUAUGACUUGCUAAUGCGAUGAUGCUUUUUACAGCUUGUAAAUAAGCACGACAAAUAGCCUAAUCAGAGCACAAUGUCAAUAAUGACAAUGUUUUACUAGAGGACCGAUGAUA
Molecule: long non-coding RNA, 6680 nt
Organism: Branchiostoma floridae (Florida lancelet)
Lineage: Eukaryota; Metazoa; Chordata; Leptocardii; Amphioxiformes; Branchiostomatidae
Exons: 3
Source: RefSeq, a predicted model, not a curated record